This 497-nucleotide ribosomal RNA is filed under the name uncultured bacterium. Its description in RNAcentral is "partial 16S ribosomal RNA". It matches the Rfam family "Bacterial small subunit ribosomal RNA", at positions 28 to 507 of the family's 1533-position model. The record is from RNAcentral.
GAUGAACGCUGGCGGCGUGCCUAAUACAUGCAAGUCGAGCGAACAGACGAGGAGCUUGCUCCUCUGACGUUAGCGGCGGACGGGUGAGUAACACGUGGAUAACCUACCUAUAAGACUGGGAUAACUUCGGGAAACCGGAGCUAAUACCGGAUAAUAUAUUGAACCGCAUGGUUCAAUAGUGAAAGACGGUUUUGCUGUCACUUAUAGAUGGAUCCGCGCCGCAUUAGCUAGUUGGUAAGGUAACGCCUUACCAAGGCAACGAGGCGUAGCCGACCUGAAAGGGUGAUCGGCCACACUGGAACUUGAACACGGUCCAGACUCCUACGGGAGGCAGCAGUAGGGAAUCUUCCGCAAUGGGCGAAAGCCUGACGGAGCAACGCCGCGUGAGUGGUGAAGGUCUUCGGAUCGUAAAACUCUGUUAUUAGGGAAGAACAAAUGUGUAAGUAGCUAUGCACGUCUUGACGGUACCUAAUCAGAAAGCCACGGCUAACUACGUG